GCAUGCCUUGCCUGGUGUGACACAGCCAUGACUUUUAUUUCAAAAUCAAACAUCCGGUAUUUUAAAAAACAAAACAAUUUGAUUGUAUUGACACAAAAAUCCUCCUGGAGAACAGCUGAACCUGCUGGAGUAGCUGAGUUUCCUGACAGUGUCCUUGCCUUCACUGUUCCUGCUGAACCUGCUAUAUAAUAUUUCUGGAUCUGAGCACUGAUUGUACCUGCUGAACUGGAUCUCAGUAUCCCUGAUUACCUCCUUUUCCAAGCGCCCCCUUAACCCCUGCUGUCAGCAUUCCCCCCCCUCCUCUCUACGUCACCACAUGAAUCCAGAGUGGUAUUCACCAGACGUAGCACCAAUGAAGAGGAUCCUGCUCCCUGUGUGUAGUUUCUCCAUAGCAUCACAGAUGUAGCCGCAAAUGCAGUCUGAGCACUAACCACAUCCACAGUGACAGCCUCACUCAGCACAGACAGGUAGAACAGCUGCAGCCUUGAUCAGCCAGUGGCUGUACGCUGUCAGACUGAGGCCUUGUCAAAGGAGCAACGAACUGUAAAUGUCACCUAAUCUCUCCUUUCUCUCACACCUGCUGAGUGUUUCCCUAAACUAGCAAUGUCUCAUAACUGUUCCUGCGGAUCACAGGGAAUGCAAAACCCAAGCCUGCAGUAUGUGAUUAUAGCCAGACUAAUGCAGAAAUGUUCACGUUCGAGGUAAUGUUCAGUUCUUAUUCAAGCAACGUUCAGUCACAUUCGCCAUCUUCCUCCCUCAGUCUCUGACGUAUCACAUGUUGUUUCUCCAGAAAGUUAUAGAGACAGGUGAGCGAAUGGAACACACUGACACGUUACAGGUCUCGCCAGGUCUGAGCGUGCUGGAAAUAUGAACUAUGUAAAUCCUAGCUCCUGAUGUAAUAAAUGUGCAUAAACACAGCUGACCCACCUCUUACA
Acanthopagrus latus (yellowfin seabream) is the source of this 935-nucleotide long non-coding RNA. RefSeq lists it as uncharacterized. The transcript is spliced from 4 exons. The record is from RefSeq and is a predicted model, not a curated record. Lineage: Eukaryota; Metazoa; Chordata; Actinopteri; Spariformes; Sparidae.